CACGUGGACAACCUGCCUCAAGGCUGGGGAUAACAUCCGGAAACAGAUGCUAAUACCGAAUAAAACUUAGUGUCGCAUGACACAAAGUUAAAAGGCGCUUCGGCGUCACCUAGAGAUGGAUCCGCGGUGCAUUAGUUAGUUGGUGGGGUAAAGGCCUACCAAGACAAUGAUGCAUAGCCGAGUUGAGAGACUGAUCGGCCACAUUGGGACUGAGACACGGCCCAAACCCCUACGGGAGGCUGCAGUAGGGAAUCUUCCACAAUGGGCGAAAGCCUGAUGGAGCAACGCCGCGUGUGUGAUGAAGGCUUUCGGGUCGUAAAGCACUGUUGUAUGGGAAGAACAGCUAGAAUAGGAAAUGAUUUUAGUUUGACGGUACCAUACCAGAAAGGGACGGCUAAAUACGUGCCAGCAGCCGCGGUAAUACGUAUGUCCCGAGCGUUAUCCGGAUUUAUUGGGCGUAAAGCGAGCGCAGACGGUUUAUUAAGUCUGAUGUGAAAGCCCGGAGCCCAACUCCGGAAUGGCAUUGGAAACUGGUUAACUUGAGUGCAGUAGAGGUAAGUGGAACUCCAUGUGUAGCGGUGGAAUGCGUAGAUAUAUGGAAGAACACCAGUGGCGAAGGCGGCUUACUGGACUGCAACUGACGUUGAGGCUCGAAAGUGUGGGUAGCAAACAGGAUUAGAUACCCUGGUAGUCCACACCGUAAACGAUGAACACUAGGUGUUAGGAGGUUUC
RNAcentral lists this ribosomal RNA (732 nucleotides) under uncultured bacterium. RNAcentral's name for it is "bacterial SSU rRNA". It matches the Rfam family "Bacterial small subunit ribosomal RNA", at positions 114 to 834 of the family's 1533-position model. The record is from RNAcentral.